AACGAACGCUGGCGGCAUGCCUAACACAUGCAAGUCGAACGAGACCUUCGGGUCUAUUGGCGCACGGGUGCGUAACGCGUGGGAACCUGCCCUUAGGUUCGGAAUAACUCCCCGAAAGGGGUGCUAAUACCGGAUAAUGUCUUCGGACCAAAGAUUUAUCGCCUUUGGAUGGGCCCGCGUUGGAUUAGCUAGUUGGUAGGGUAAAAGCCUACCAAGGCGACGAUCCAUAGCUGGUCUGAGAGGAUGAUCAGCCACACUGGGACUGAGACACGGCCCAGACUCCUACGGGAAGCAGCAGUGGGGAAUAUUGGACAAUGGGCGAAAGCCUGAUCCAGCAAUGCCGCGUGAGUGAUGAAGGCCUUAGGGUUGUAAAGCUCUUUUAACCGGGAUGAUAAUGACAGUACCGGGAGAAUAAGCGCCGGCUAACUCCGUG
This 433-nucleotide ribosomal RNA is filed under the name uncultured bacterium. Its description in RNAcentral is "partial 16S ribosomal RNA". It matches the Rfam family "Bacterial small subunit ribosomal RNA", at positions 29 to 507 of the family's 1533-position model. The record is from RNAcentral.